AGUGAACGCUGGCGGUAGGCCUAACACAUGCAAGUCGAACGGCAGCACAGUAAGAGCUUGCUCUUACGGGUGGCGAGUGGCGGACGGGUGAGGAAUACAUCGGAAUCUACUUUUUCGUGGGGGAUAACGUAGGGAAACUUACGCUAAUACCGCAUACGACCUACGGGUGAAAGCAGGGGAUCUUAGGACCUUGCGCGAUUGAAUGAGCCGAUGUCGGAUUAGCUAGUUGGCGGGGUAAAGGCCCACCAAGGCGACGAUCCGUAGCUGGUCUGAGAGGAUGAUCAGCCACACUGGAACUGAGACACGGUCCAGACUCCUACGGGAGGCAGCAGUGGGGAAUAUUGGACAAUGGGCGCAAGCCUGAUCCAGCCAUACCGCGUGGGUGAAGAAGGCCUUCGGGUUGCAAAGCCCUUUUGUUGGGAAAGAAAAGCAGCAGGUUAAUACCCCGCUGUUCUGACGGUACCCAAAGAAUAAGCACCGGCUAACUUCGUG
Molecule: ribosomal RNA, 492 nt
Filed under: uncultured bacterium
Lineage: Bacteria
Description: partial 16S ribosomal RNA
Rfam family: Bacterial small subunit ribosomal RNA
Source: RNAcentral